GCCAGUAUUAAAGGUCCCGCCUGCCCAGUGAAUUUUUUAACGGCCGCGGUAUCCUAACCGUGCAAAGGUAGCGCAAUCACUUGUUCUCUAAAUAAGGACUAGUAUGAACGGCACCAUGAGGAUCGACUUGUCUCUCAUAAUAAGCCUACGAAACUGAUCUUCCAGUACAAAAGCUGGAAUAUGCUAACAAGACGAGAAGACCCUGUGGAGCUUCAAACCAAACUCACCUUAUAUGAACUAACGGUUUUCAGUUGGGGCGACUCUGGAGAAAAACAAAACCUCCAAACUUUAAACUUCUAGGCCACCACGCCUACAGGCUCCUACCAUUAUGACCCAAUAUAAUUGACUAAUGAACCAAGUUACCCCAGGGAUAACAGCGCAAUCUUCUUCUAGAGUCCCUAUCGACAAGAAGGUUUACGACCUCGAUGUUGGAUCGGGGGACCCAAAUAGUGCAGCCGCUAUUAAAGGUUCGUUUGUUCAACGAUUAAAGCCCCACGUGA
This 500-nucleotide ribosomal RNA is filed under the name Amphisbaena mitchelli (Mitchell's worm lizard). RNAcentral describes it as "partial 16S ribosomal RNA". It matches the Rfam family "Bacterial large subunit ribosomal RNA", at positions 1839 to 2603 of the family's 2925-position model. Lineage: Eukaryota; Metazoa; Chordata; Lepidosauria; Squamata; Amphisbaenidae. The record is from RNAcentral.